Molecule: RNA transcript, 3324 nt
Organism: Scylla paramamosain (green mud crab)
Lineage: Eukaryota; Metazoa; Arthropoda; Malacostraca; Decapoda; Portunidae
Gene name: ran-specific GTPase-activating protein-like
Exons: 7
Source: RefSeq, a predicted model, not a curated record
AGCGAGGGCACAGUGUAUGGAUGUGAAUGCAAGGAGUUACAGGUGGUCUGAGUCCCGCAGCAAAGUGUGCCGGAUGUGUGACAUGGGAGAGGAUGAGACGGUGCAACAUGUGGUGGUGGAAUGUGUGAAGUAUGCCAGAGACAGGAAUGAGAUGAUGCAAGUGAUACUGACUGAGUUAGGGCAUGAUAGGAAUGAAAGAGUGGAGAAGACAGGAAAGGAGUGGAUGGUGUUGCUGGGACUGUGUAGAGACGAAUGAAAGGAUGACUGAGGCGGUGAAACAGUUUCUGGAGAGAAUGUGGCGUGCCAGAUGUACGAACAGUUACUGUAGAUGAUGCUGUUUGUUAUUUUUUUUUUUUCCCCUUCUACAGGAGUUGCCGAUCCAAAGGCCUGGCUUAAGAGUGAUCCCGAGCUACCUGUACCAUCAAGAUCAAGAUCGAGCGUCCAUAUCAGAUGGUGAGUCUGCGUACAAAAUUGCAUCGGAGGGGUUGAUAGAGGCAGCCACAAUUAUCCAUCAUCAUCGGCGACACCAUGGCUCUUGAGAAGACAGACAGACCUCGAUGACAGCGUGGUGAGCGAGGAGGGGGAGUCAACCAGCAGAGUGGGGGAGCAUGACCCCUACUUUGAACCAGUGGUGACCUUGCUGGAGGUCUUCGUGGUUAGUGAUGAUGACCAGGAGGAGGAAAUGAUAAGACUGAGUUUCGAGGUCAGGUCAGGCAGUACAAGCUGUUUCUUUAUCACACCUCUGAGUCGCCCCCACAGUGGAAGGAACGGGGCAUGGGGGCCAUUAACAUUCUGAGGAACAAGCAGAAGAAGGCUGUGGAGUUUGUUCAGCAGCAGAAUUAAUGCCAGUGGUUGAGUUCAGAUCCUCCAAGACACACAGACACACACACAGCAGCCCCUCCACUUCCCCACAGCCCUCCACAGCCCCUGACACAGUAUCUGACACAGGCCCUUCACAGACCACCACAUACCUCACACAUACAUAAGAACAUAAGAACAUAAGAAAUAAGGGAAGCUGCAAGAAGCGACCAGGCUUACACAUGGCAGUCCCUGUAUGAAAUAUACCUACCUAUUUCCAUCUGUUAUCCCCAUCCAUAAACUUGUCUAAUCUUCUCUUAAAGCUCUCUAGUGUCCUAGCACUAACUACAUGAUUACUGAGUCCGUUCCACUCAUCUACCACUUUUUUUGAGAACAAAUUUUUUCCUAUCUCCAUCCUAAACCCAAAUUUUUCAAGCUUGUACCCAUUAUUUCUUGUUCUACCCUGGUUGCUGAUCCUAAGAAUUUUGCCUACAUCCCCCUUGUUAUAACCUUUAUACCACUCAAAGACUUCUAUCAGGUCCCCUCUUAACCUACGUAUCUCUAAAGAAUGUAAAUUUAACAGCUUCAACCUCGCCUCGUAAGGAAUACUCCUCAUCCCCUGUAUCCUUUUAGUCAUUCUCCUCUGUACUGAUUCUAAUAGACCUAUAUCUUUCCUGUAAUGUGGGGACCAGAACUGCACAGCGUAGUCUAGAUGAGGUCUGACCAGCGCCAAGUAUAACUUCAAUACUACUUCCGGCCUUCUACUUUUAACACUCCUAAAAAUCACACACCACAGGAGCCUCACAAACAGUCUGACAGCCUUCACAAGCAGCCCCACACUCCACCACAGACACACCAGACCCACAGCCCUUCACCUCACCCACUUCCCAGCCCCCCACAGCCCUCCAGCCACCACAAAUGAAGUGAAAGGAAGGGACUGUGGCUUCACCCAGCCAGCCAGGACAGCCUACAGAGAGGGGGUAGUCCCAGUCAAGUCACAAAAUAUAGGCUUGGUUCUUCCUACAGUUUGAAGUCAAUGAUUGGACAGCCCCACAGUUACUGACCUUGACUCAAACACCAUCACGCCACUCUCUUCCCUGUUAAACUUGCCGGGAUCCAUUGUAAUGUAAGGGGUAUUGAAUGUGAGCGAUGAAACGAGAAGGUAGUGGCAAGGGGGAAAAAAGUACAGGGGAGCGCAGGAGAGACACCUCUCUCCACUGUGCCUGACAGUCUCUCAGUGAUUGAAAGACUGAGCAUAACAUCUUCAGGGCACGUGGUAACACGGAGAGGAACUGGAAGAAACCUUGGGACGCUCCCAUAACUCAGGAGCAGGAAGUACACCUUACUGGAAACCUUGUGACUGACAGGUGGCGGUGACUGCAGGAACCAAUUCAGAUGUCUGUCUUGUGUUGGCGAACGUCCUGUCUGCAGUGCCAGUAGUGCCAUGUCGCAGGGUGUGACAUCAGGUGAAGAGCCAAAUGGAGAGUGUCUGCAGCCAGUACUGGGUGUGCUGAUGCUGUACACAAGUGUCGAGCCAGGUGCCACAGCACAUGACUCCACCAGUGUAGUGUCUCUAGUCCAGGAUGCACUGCUGUGUACGACUUGUAUGUCUUUAUAUAUUUGUGACUAUUCUUAUUAUAUUUGUGAAAUAAGACUUGUAUGUCUUUGCUAAUAAAUAAAUAUUUGUGACUAUUCAUUCUUAUUAUAUAUGUGAAAUAAAUAUAUAGUUAGCUAACAGUGUGGUAUAAUAGUGUAAAAAUAAAUAUUUGAUAAUUCAUGCAUGCCCCAAAGGUAAAAAAAAAAAAAAAAAAAAAAAAAACAGGAUUGUGCCCUCUAAACUUUUAAGAUACCACUUGCACAUAGAAGCCCCGUCCCAGCGACUCCAGUGUCGGCUGGGAUGGGGCUUCUAUGUGCAAAUGGUAUCUUAAACUUAGUUUAGUAGCCAAUCCUGGCUUUUUUUUUUUUUUUUUUUUUUUUUUUUUUUUUUGGCCUUGAGGGCAUGACCUGUACUCCCAGAAAGACUAUUUGCCAAAGAUAUUAUUGACAUGGCAUAAAUAACUAUCAUUAUGUUCAAGAUGGUAUACUGAAUGUUUAUUGUUUUAAUGUGGAUGUUAAGUGAAUAAAUACACAACAAUAAUAUAAACAUGGCACUUUUUUUCCUUAUUACUGAAGUGCUGGAAUGUACAAAACUUAUCCCAAGCCUGAAUGAAGGUGGUGGUGGUGGUUGUUGAAUACAGAAGAGAGGGACUUGCUACAUUCUUCCUUCCCAGACUGGAGUGGACUGGAGAACUCUUGCAGCAGGGCCUGGGAGCAACAACACUUGCCAAUUCUUAUGUCCUUGCAUCAACUUGAGUGAGGAGCAACCUCUUCUUUGUGAAACUGCCUGCAGCUCUCGUGCCUCCACAAGUGUUGAAAGUUGCCUGUCGGUCCCGCCAUGACUUGAAGGGAAUUUUACGUGUUCUUCCUGCUUGAAAUUCUUGACACACUCUUCUUACUGCAACUUGACUCUUCCCUGAUUGCUUUGUC